RNAcentral lists this ribosomal RNA (2925 nucleotides) under Shigella sonnei. RNAcentral describes it as "23S ribosomal RNA". It matches the Rfam family "Bacterial large subunit ribosomal RNA". Lineage: Bacteria; Pseudomonadati; Pseudomonadota; Gammaproteobacteria; Enterobacterales; Enterobacteriaceae. The record is from RNAcentral.
GGGUUGUGAGGUUAAGCGACUAAGCGUACACGGUGGAUGCCCUGGCAGUCAGAGGCGAUGAAGGACGUGCUAAUCUGCGAUAAGCGUCGGUAAGGUGAUAUGAACCGUUAUAACCGGCGAUUUCCGAAUGGGGAAACCCAGUGUGAUUCGUCACACUAUCAUUAACUGAAUCCAUAGGUUAAUGAGGCGAACCGGGGGAACUGAAACAUCUAAGUACCCCGAGGAAAAGAAAUCAACCGAGAUUCCCCCCAGUAGCGGCGAGCGAACGGGGAGCAGCCCAGAGCCUGAAUCAGUGUGUGUGUUAGUGGAAGCGUCUGGAAAGGCGCGCGAUACAGGGUGACAGCCCCGUACACAAAAAUGCACAUAUUGUGAGCUCGAUGAGUAGGGCGGGACACGUGGUAUCCUGUCUGAAUAUGGGGGGCCCAUCCUCCAAGGCUAAAUACUCCUGACUGACCGAUAGUGAACCAGUACCGUGAGGGAAAGGCGAAAAGAACCCCGGCGAGGGGAGUGAAAAAGAACCUGAAACCGUGUACGUACAAGCAGUGGGAGCACGCUUAGGCGUGUGACUGCGUACCUUUUGUAUAAUGGGUCAGCGACUUAUAUUCUGUAGCAAGGUUAACCGAAUAGGGGAGCCGAAGGGAAACCGAGUCUUAACUGGGCGUUAAGUUGCAGGGUAUAGACCCGAAACCCGGUGAUCUAGCCAUGGGCAGGUUGAAGGUUGGGUAACACUAACUGGAGGACCGAACCGACUAAUGUUGAAAAAUUAGCGGAUGACUUGUGGCUGGGGGUGAAAGGCCAAUCAAACCGGGAGAUAGCUGGUUCUCCCCGAAAGCUAUUUAGGUAGCGCCUCGUGAAUUCAUCUCCGGGGGUAGAGCACUGUUUCGGCAAGGGGGUCAUCCCGACUUACCAACCCGAUGCAAACUGCGAAUACCGGAGAAUGUUAUCACGGGAGACACACGGCGGGUGCUAACGUCCGUCGUGAAGAGGGAAACAACCCAGACCGCCAGCUAAGGUCCCAAAGUCAUGGUUAAGUGGGAAACGAUGUGGGAAGGCCCAGACAGCCAGGAUGUUGGCUUAGAAGCAGCCAUCAUUUAAAGAAAGCGUAAUAGCUCACUGGUCGAGUCGGCCUGCGCGGAAGAUGUAACGGGGCUAAACCAUGCACCGAAGCUGCGGCAGCGACGCUUAUGCGUUGUUGGGUAGGGGAGCGUUCUGUAAGCCUGCGAAGGUGUGCUGUGAGGCAUGCUGGAGGUAUCAGAAGUGCGAAUGCUGACAUAAGUAACGAUAAAGCGGGUGAAAAGCCCGCUCGCCGGAAGACCAAGGGUUCCUGUCCAACGUUAAUCGGGGCAGGGUGAGUCGACCCCUAAGGCGAGGCCGAAAGGCGUAGUCGAUGGGAAACAGGUUAAUAUUCCUGUACUUGGUGUUACUGCGAAGGGGGGACGGAGAAGGCUAUGUUGGCCGGGCGACGGUUGUCCCGGUUUAAGCGUGUAGGCUGGUUUUCCAGGCAAAUCCGGAAAAUCAAGGCUGAGGCGUGAUGACGAGGCACUACGGUGCUGAAGCAACAAAUGCCCUGCUUCCAGGAAAAGCCUCUAAGCAUCAGGUAACAUCAAAUCGUACCCCAAACCGACACAGGUGGUCAGGUAGAGAAUACCAAGGCGCUUGAGAGAACUCGGGUGAAGGAACUAGGCAAAAUGGUGCCGUAACUUCGGGAGAAGGCACGCUGAUAUGUAGGUGAAGUCCCUUGCGGAUGGAGCUGAAAUCAGUCGAAGAUACCAGCUGGCUGCAACUGUUUAUUAAAAACACAGCACUGUGCAAACACGAAAGUGGACGUAUACGGUGUGACGCCUGCCCGGUGCCGGAAGGUUAAUUGAUGGGGUCAGCGCAAGCGAAGCUCUUGAUCGAAGCCCCGGUAAACGGCGGCCGUAACUAUAACGGUCCUAAGGUAGCGAAAUUCCUUGUCGGGUAAGUUCCGACCUGCACGAAUGGCGUAAUGAUGGCCAGGCUGUCUCCACCCGAGACUCAGUGAAAUUGAACUCGCUGUGAAGAUGCAGUGUACCCGCGGCAAGACGGAAAGACCCCGUGAACCUUUACUAUAGCUUGACACUGAACAUUGAGCCUUGAUGUGUAGGAUAGGUGGGAGGCUUUGAAGUGUGGACGCCAGUCUGCAUGGAGCCGGCCUUGAAAUACCACCCUUUAAUGUUUGAUGUUCUAACGUGGACCCGUGAUCCGGGUUGCGGACAGUGUCUGGUGGGUAGUUUGACUGGGGCGGUCUCCUCCUAAAGAGUAACGGAGGAGCACGAAGGUUGGCUAAUCUGGUCGGACAUCAGGAGGUUAGUGCAAUGGCAUAAGCCAGCUUGACUGCGAGCGUGACGGCGCGAGCAGGUGCGAAAGCAGGUCAUAGUGAUCCGGUGGUUCUGAAUGGAAGGGCCAUCGCUCAACGGAUAAAAGGUACUCCGGGGAUAACAGGCUGAUACCGCCCAAGAGUUCAUAUCGACGGCGGUGUUUGGCACCUCGAUGUCGGCUCAUCACAUCCUGGGGCUGAAGUAGGUCCCAAGGGUAUGGCUGUUCGCCAUUUAAAGUGGUACGCGAGCUGGGUUUAGAACGUCGUGAGACAGUUCGGUCCCUAUCUGCCGUGGGCGCUGGAGAACUGAGGGGGGCUGCUCCUAGUACGAGAGGACCGGAGUGGACGCAUCACUGGUGUUCGGGUUGUCAUGCCAAUGGCACUGCCCGGUAGCUAAAUGCGGAAGAGAUAAGUGCUGAAAGCAUCUAAGCACGAAACUUGCCCCGAGAUGAGUUCUCCCUGACCCUUUAAGGGUCCUGAAGGAACGUUGAAGACGACGACGUUGAUAGGCCGGGUGUGUAAGCGCAGCGAUGCGUUGAGCUAACCGGUACUAAUGAACCGUGAGGCUUAACCUUACAACGCCGAAG